Long non-coding RNA from Pyrus x bretschneideri (Chinese white pear), 249 nucleotides. RefSeq lists it as uncharacterized. The record is from RefSeq and is a predicted model, not a curated record. NCBI's taxonomy places the organism in Eukaryota, Viridiplantae, Streptophyta, Magnoliopsida, Rosales, Rosaceae. The transcript has 2 exons.
GAAGAAUGUAACCAAUCUAAGGGAGGCUCAGGGACCUUCGAGACGUCGAUGUGAUCUGUUCAAGAAUUGCAAAGGUGUGGUGACUACGAGGAAUUUCAACGGUGUUCUGACAGAAUGGACCAAAUGAGGACUCACCUUCGGGUGGUUCAUCUUAGAAGUUGUGUAUUUUAAAGCUUCCGAACUGUGUAAAUGGUUACGUCACUCUCACGUGACGGCCAGCAUGCCCUCCUUCGGGACGGGGUGUGUCAG